UACGUAGGGUGCAAGCGUUAAUCGGAAUUACUGGGCGUAAAGCGUGCGCAGGCGGUUGUGCAAGACAGAUGUGAAAUCCCCGGGCUAACCUGGGAACUGCAUUUGUGACUGCACGGCUAGAGUGCGGCAGGAGGGGGAUGGAAUUCCGCGUGUAGCAGUGAAAUGCGUAGAUAUGCGGAGGAACACCGGAUGGCGAAGGCAAUCCCCUGGGCCCUGCACUGACGCUCAUGCACGAAAGCGUGGGGAGCAAACAGG
Molecule: ribosomal RNA, 255 nt
Filed under: uncultured bacterium
Lineage: Bacteria
Description: partial 16S ribosomal RNA
Rfam family: Bacterial small subunit ribosomal RNA
Source: RNAcentral